RNAcentral lists this ribosomal RNA (492 nucleotides) under uncultured bacterium. RNAcentral describes it as "partial 16S ribosomal RNA". It matches the Rfam family "Bacterial small subunit ribosomal RNA", at positions 29 to 507 of the family's 1533-position model. The record is from RNAcentral.
AGUGAACGCUGGCGGUAGGCCUAACACAUGCAAGUCGAACGGCAGCACAGUAAGAGCUUGCUCUUACGGGUGGCGAGUGGCGGACGGGUGAGGAAUACAUCGGGAUCUACUUUUUCGUGGGGGAUAACGUAGGGAAACUUACGCUAAUACCGCAUACGACCUACGGGUGAAAGCAGGGGAUCUUCGGACCUUGCGCGAUUGAAUGAGCCGAUGUCGGAUUAGCUGGUUGGCGGGGUAAAGGCCCACCAAGGCGACGAUCCGUAGCUGGUCUGAGAGGAUGAUCAGCCACACUGGAACUGAGACACGGUCCAGACUCCUACGGGAGGCAGCAGUGGGGAAUAUUGGACAAUGGGCGCAAGCCUGAUCCAGCCAUACCGCGUGGGUGAAGAAGGCCUUCGGGUUGUAAAGCCCUUUUGUUGGGAAAGAAAAGCAGCAGGUUAAUACCCCGCUGUUCUGACGGUACCCAAAGAAUAAGCACCGGCUAACUUCGUG